CAGGAACUGGGUAGACUGUACAUCUCUGCCUGAGGGCUGCAGCAAACCAAGAAGCCAGGCAGGAGCAGGAGCAGGAGCAGGAGCAGCAGCUGCUCUGGCAGCUCCCAGGCUGGAGCCUGAGCCAACAGGAGGAUCUCAAAAUCUUCUGCAAAGUUGAAUUUUCUUCCCCAACAUGCCCACAGCAGCUGGAUGCUGGUGCCUCCUCCAGCAGCCCUGGGUUGUAUCCAUCUGACAACACACCUCCAGUGACUCUCUUAAUUAAGUCUCCCGCACUGCUGCGAGACUGUCACAGUGAUUUUGCACUGCAGAACUCCACAGAGUCCAACCAGCAAAGCUGCAGGAGCUGGAAGUUGCAGCAGCAAUGCAGGAGUGAGCCAAGGAGCCAGGUCAGAAAAGAAAACCCCUCUGGGUACCUGCUGCACCCUCAGGUGGGAACUUGGAGCUAUUCCAAACCAGUAACUCCUAAGAGAUGGGAUGUCAGUGGAUCAUCAAUUCUGAGGCACAAUAACAGCAUUUUAGUGCUUGGGAUUGUCUUACCUGUGUUUGUUCUAGCAGAGGUGUCUGCCUGCUGGGUUUAGCUCCCCACAUUCCUGAUGGGGAUUCCCUUUAGCCUGCAGCUUCCUGCAGAUAACUCCCAUGAUAAUGCUGGGAAUGAUCAGUGUAAAUACUCCCUAUGGAAAAGCAGCUUGUUUCUCAGAAUGAGGUUAUUGUCCUUUCAAAUGGAGUAACAAAAGGCAAAUUUACUGAGUAUACAACUCACUGAAGUACUGCAUCUUUCAGAGAUAUGUGAUGAUUUCUUUAAAACUUGGUGGAUUUUUGCCCAAAUCAAAGGAUUUUGUCUCAUCAGCUACACUGGGAUUUCCCAGAGGGCCUGAGACAACACAUCCUCAGCCUCCUGGACCUUGGCUGAACUGAUGCAUAAUGUGUGGAAACUUCCCAACAGGAACAAGCAACCCUGGAAGGCCAAGAUUACCACUGAUCUGGUUUUGGGGGGGAAAAAAAAAAGAAAAAGACAACUGAAAUGACGUGUGACAGUCAUUAGCAGAGCAUUGUCAGAACACAAUGGAAGAACAGACAAAAGCCAGUCCAGAUUCUGUGGUAUUUCCUAAAGGGCUCCCUCUGGCACAUGGCUGUUCCCUGCCAAUCCUUCUGUAUUGUUUUUGAUAAUGAAUAGAAGCUGAACAGAUGAUUGUUGUAUUGUCCACUAAGUGAUUCAUUUACAUUAAA
Molecule: long non-coding RNA, 1227 nt
Organism: Melospiza melodia melodia
Lineage: Eukaryota; Metazoa; Chordata; Aves; Passeriformes; Passerellidae
Exons: 3
Source: RefSeq, a predicted model, not a curated record